GCUCAACCGGGGAGGGUCAUUGGAAACUGGGGAACUUGAGUGCAGAAGAGGAGAGUGGAAUUCCACGUGUAGCGGUGAAAUGCGUAGAGAUGUGGAGGAACACCAGUGGCGAAGGCGACUCUCUGGUCUGUAACUGACGCUGAGGCGCGAAAGCGUGGGGAGCGAACAGGAUUAGAUACCCUGGUAGUCCACGCCGUAAACGAUGAGUGCUAAGUGUUAGAGGGUUUCCGCCCAUUAGUGCUGCAGCAAACGCAUUAAGCACUCCGCCUGGGGAGUACGGUCGCAAGACUGAAACUCAAAGGAAUUGACGGGGGCCCGCACAAGCGGUGGAGCAUGUGGUUUAAUUCGAAGCAACGCGAAGAACCUUACCAGGUCUUGACAUCCUCUGACAACCCUAGAGAUAGGGCUUCCCCUUCGGGGGCAGAGUGACAGGUGGUGCAUGGUUGUCGUCAGCUCGUGUCGUGAGAUGUUGGGUUAAGUCCCGCAACGAGCGCAACCCUUGAUCUUAGUUGCCAGCAUUCAGUUGGGCACUCUAAGGUGACUGCCGGUGACAAACCGGAGGAAGGUGGGGAUGACGUCAAAUCAUCAUGCCCCUUAUGACCUGGGCUACACACGUGCUACAAUGGGCAGAACAAAG
This 637-nucleotide ribosomal RNA is filed under the name uncultured bacterium. RNAcentral's name for it is "bacterial SSU rRNA". It matches the Rfam family "Bacterial small subunit ribosomal RNA", at positions 607 to 1244 of the family's 1533-position model. The record is from RNAcentral.